This 747-nucleotide ribosomal RNA is filed under the name Bacillus velezensis. RNAcentral's name for it is "bacterial SSU rRNA". It matches the Rfam family "Bacterial small subunit ribosomal RNA", at positions 56 to 785 of the family's 1533-position model. Lineage: Bacteria; Bacillati; Bacillota; Bacilli; Caryophanales; Bacillaceae. The record is from RNAcentral.
GGCAAGUCGAGCGGACAGAUGGGAGCUUGCUCCCUGAUGUUAGCGGCGGACGGGUGAGUAACACGUGGGUAACCUGCCUGUAAGACUGGGAUAACUCCGGGAAACCGGGGCUAAUACCGGAUGGUUGUUUGAACCGCAUGGUUCAGACAUAAAAGGUGGCUUCGGCUACCACUUACAGAUGGACCCGCGGCGCAUUAGCUAGUUGGUGAGGUAACGGCUCACCAAGGCGACGAUGCGUAGCCGACCUGAGAGGGUGAUCGGCCACACUGGGACUGAGACACGGCCCAGACUCCUACGGGAGGCAGCAGUAGGGAAUCUUCCGCAAUGGACGAAAGUCUGACGGAGCAACGCCGCGUGAGUGAUGAAGGUUUUCGGAUCGUAAAGCUCUGUUGUUAGGGAAGAACAAGUGCCGUUCAAAUAGGGCGGCACCUUGACGGUACCUAACCAGAAAGCCACGGCUAACUACGUGCCAGCAGCCGCGGUAAUACGUAGGUGGCAAGCGUUGUCCGGAAUUAUUGGGCGUAAAGGGCUCGCAGGCGGUUUCUUAAGUCUGAUGUGAAAGCCCCCGGCUCAACCGGGGAGGGUCAUUGGAAACUGGGGAACUUGAGUGCAGAAGAGGAGAGUGGAAUUCCACGUGUAGCGGUGAAAUGCGUAGAGAUGUGGAGGAACACCAGUGGCGAAGGCGACUCUCUGGUCUGUAACUGACGCUGAGGAGCGAAAGCGUGGGGAGCGAACAGGAUUAGAUAC